Molecule: non-coding RNA, 101 nt
Organism: Acanthosepion pharaonis
Lineage: Eukaryota; Metazoa; Mollusca; Cephalopoda; Sepiida; Sepiidae
Source: the annotation of a GenBank genome assembly
CUACGGUCAAAUCACUCUGAAAACACCGGUUCUCGUUAGAUCACAGAUUAAGCAACGUUGAAUUCAGUUAGUAUUUAGAUGGGGGACCGCUUGGGAACAUC